CCUACGUGAGGCUGCAGUGAGGAAUAUUGGUCAAUGGGCGGAAGCCUGAACCAGCCAAGUAGCGUGCAGGAUGACGGCCCUACGGGUUGUAAACUGCUUUUAUAAGGGAAUAACGCGCCUUACGUGUACGGCUUUGCAUGUACUGUAUGAAUAAGGACCGGCUAAUUCCGUGCCAGCAGCCGCGGUAAUACGGAAGGUCCGGGCGUUAUCCGGAUGUAUUGGGGGUAAAGGGAGCGUAGAGGGGUUGUCAAGCCAGCUGUGAAAUGUUGGGGCGCAACCGGGGGAUUGCAGUGGGAAAUGGCAGUAGUGAGGACAGGUGGGGUAGGCGGAAGGAGUGGGGGAGAGGUGAAA
RNAcentral lists this ribosomal RNA (351 nucleotides) under uncultured bacterium. RNAcentral's name for it is "partial 16S ribosomal RNA". It matches the Rfam family "Bacterial small subunit ribosomal RNA", at positions 338 to 686 of the family's 1533-position model. The record is from RNAcentral.